Molecule: unclassified non-coding RNA, 148 nt
Organism: Pongo abelii (Sumatran orangutan)
Lineage: Eukaryota; Metazoa; Chordata; Mammalia; Primates; Hominidae
Rfam family: Metazoan signal recognition particle RNA
About the family: The signal recognition particle (SRP) is a universally conserved ribonucleoprotein. It is involved in the co-translational targeting of proteins to membranes. The eukaryotic SRP consists of a 300-nucleotide 7S RNA and six proteins: SRPs 72, 68, 54, 19, 14, and 9.
Source: Ensembl
GCUGGGUGUGGUGGCGGGUGCCUGUAAUCCCAAUUACUGGGGAGGCUGAGGCAGGAGAAUUGCUUGAACCCAGGAGGCAGAGGUUGCAGUGAGCCAGGAUUGUGCCACUGCACUCUAGCCUGGGUGAUAGAGUGAGACUCUGUCUCAA